Molecule: ribosomal RNA, 656 nt
Filed under: uncultured bacterium
Lineage: Bacteria
Description: bacterial SSU rRNA
Rfam family: Bacterial small subunit ribosomal RNA
Source: RNAcentral
GAGCGCCCCGCAAGGGGUAGCGGCAGACGGGAGAGUAACACGUGGGAACGUGCCCUUUGGUUCGGAACGACACAGGGAAACUUGUGCUAAUACCGGAUAAGUCCGUAAGGAGAAAGAUUUAUCGCCAAAGGAUCGGCCCGCGUAUGCUUAGCUUGUUGGUGAGGUAACGGCUCACCAAGGCGACGAUCAGUAGCUGGUCUGAGAGGAUGAUCAGCCUCACUGGGACUGAGACACGGCCCAGACUCCUACGGGAGGCAGCAGUGGGGAAUAUUGGACAAUGGGCGCAAGCCUGAUCCAGCCAUGCCGCGUGGAUGAUGAAGGCCUUAGGGUUGUAAAGUCCUUUCGGCGGGGAAGAUAAUGACGGUACCCGCAGAAGAAGCCCCGGCUAACUUCGUGCCAGCAGCCGCGGUAAUACGAAGGGGGCUAGCGUUGCUCGGAAUCACUGGGCGUAAAGCGCACGUAGGCGGCUUUUUAAGUCAGAGGUGAAAUCCUGGAGCUCAACUCCAGAACUGCCUUUGAUACUGGAGAGCUUGAGUCCGGGAGAGGUGAGUGGAACUGCGAGUGUAGAGGUGAAAUUCGUAGAUAUUCGCAAGAACACCAGUGGCGAAGGCGGCUCACUGGCCCGGUACUGACGCUGAGGUGCGAAAGCGUGGGGA